GCUGGGCGCGGUGGUGCACACCUGUAAUCCCAGCUUCCCGGGAGGCUGAGGCAGGGGGAUUGCAAGUUCAAAGCCAGCCUCAGCAACCGCGGGGGCCUAUGCAACUCAGUGAGACCCUGUCUCUA
Molecule: small RNA, 125 nt
Filed under: Marmota monax (woodchuck)
Lineage: Eukaryota; Metazoa; Chordata; Mammalia; Rodentia; Sciuridae
Source: RNAcentral